GACGAACGCUGGCGGCGUGCCUAACACAUGCAAGUCGAGCGGAGACAGGGAGUAGCUUGCUAUGAGCUGUUUUAGCGGCGGACGGGUGAGUAACGCGUGAGCAACCUUUCCCAGACAGGGGAAUAACACACCGAAAGGUGUACUAAUACCGCAUAAGACCACGGGAUCACAUGGUUCUGGGGUAAAAGAUUUAUCGGUUUGGGGUGGGCUCGCGUCCGAUUAGGUAGUUGGUGAGGUAACGGCCCACCAAGCCGACGAUCGGUAGCCGACCUGAGAGGGUGAUCGGCCACAUUGGGACUGAGACACGGCCCAAACUCCUACGGGAGGCAGCAGUGGGGAAUAUUGGGCAAUGGAGGAAACUCUGACCCAGCAACGCCGCGUGGAGGAAGAAGGUUUUCGGAUC
This 403-nucleotide ribosomal RNA is filed under the name uncultured bacterium. Its description in RNAcentral is "bacterial SSU rRNA". It matches the Rfam family "Bacterial small subunit ribosomal RNA", at positions 28 to 424 of the family's 1533-position model. The record is from RNAcentral.